GAUACUGGGCGGUGUGAGCCAAGAACCCCACGGAGUCUUCCAGAAGCAUCCUUCAUGGUUCAUUUAAGCAGAGAGUGCACCAUAGCGCUAGUCUCCUUUUACUGACCUGUCGGCUCACAGUGGAACAGCCUGCUUAGAAGGCUUUCGCCCGAUUCUCGGUACCAGGUCGGUGCUGGCGCCGACAAAUGGAGGUCCCACCGAGAUCGGAGAAGAAAGGGGGUACCACCUACGGGACGUCCCUGGAGCCCGGCCGGCAUAGGAGGAGAAGGGACGGAUUGGACGUAAGAUGGGUCAGGAAAGGCCUGGAUGAUUUGGGCUAGCCUAAGUAAAACUUGUCAUAAAAAAGGGACAAGGUAACGGUAAAGUGUUUUUGCAUAUGUGUUCUGUUAGAGUUAUAUUUUAGUCUUUGGACCCUGGCUAGAGAUAGUUUACACCCUAGACAUGAGAGAGAACGGGUUGGGGAAAAACAGUCCUCCCGGACUCUCCACGGUUGCUUUGGAGAAAGAAAAACCUUUUCAGAGCUCUCCUAGGAACAGAGGGAAAGCAGGAACGUCCUGCCUCUCUGCUGGCUCCUAUUGGAGAAAUGCUUAUUUCUGGUUCUGGGUUCCAUAGGUAGGAUAUGUGGGUCCCUUCGGUGGGACACCAUCUAGUUUUUUCCCUUUAUGUCUAUUGUUUGUCCUUGGUGCACCAAGCUGUCCAUGUCUGUCAGUUUAUGUCUGUGGUUUUUGUUUCUCGUUGUUUAAAUGUUUUGUGUUUCAUGUUUAAAAGAAAAGGUUAAAAUUUUAAAUGCUGGUUGAUUCACCCAUUGAUGUAGUUUUAACUCCUUUCAAAAAAGGUACAAAUAAAUAAAAAGUUUCAAUUGGCUUUUGGAGCCUACAUCUGUAGCUAGAAGCCUAAAUCUGCUGGGCAAGCUCCCCAGGGGGCUGGCUAAAUGUUUACACUAGCCAAUCUUAAAGGAGCCAGCAGCUCCUCAGCUUCUAUGUUAAGGGAGCAGAUGGCUGUUUCUCUUAGAAAAAUCCCUGACUUAUUAUUAGACUUAGCAGGUGACAAGGUGCUUCUCUUAAAAUCAUAGCUAGAAAAGUAAAAAUGGUGCUUGGUCUAAAUAUUAAAGAUAGGUGUAGCCACUUCAAUUUUGUUUCUGAUUGGUUUUAAAUGUAUAAAUAUGCUCUAUAUGCCUUGGUUAUGGACUAUUGGCUUUUAGGUUAUUGGAUAUGGUUAAAAAAGUAUAAUGUUGGUAACAGAAAGUUGGCUUAAAACUGUUAUUUGGAUGAAGUCAUUCUAGACAACAUGUGGCAUGAGCCAACCUAGGGAAACAGGUCUAAAUUGAGAUAAUAUUUUUAUGGAACUCUUAUUCUAGAAACCAGGCUUCUAAAAGAAUUUAGGGCAAUGUCUCUUUGUUGAGGUAUUGGAGACCGCACCAUCGUGCAUUCAUAUGUAGGAAUUGGCAGUCAAACUUUGUAGCAUGAAGGAUAGACUCGGUGUUUUGGAGACUGGAUUUUGGAGACUAGAUUGUUAGAGGUUAAGUUUUGCUUUCCAUAGUUCUGGUUUGCCCUGAAGUUAUCUGUAUUUUAAUGCUAAUUCCACUGCCCCAAGGACAGCUGCCUAGUCACUACUCAGAACUCAGGUGACCUAGUGGUUGUGCUCUGGUGUUACAAGGAGAACGUAAGGAUUGUGAUUAAGGAUUGCCAGUGUUACAUUGAGUAACUCAAACUUAUUUAUAAUUGAGAAAAAAAAAUCAAACAGGUAGAGAUUGUUACAAGAUUUACGAAGGAUUGAUGAGGUUUUAGAACUUGUGAGAGCAUUAUAGCCUGUUUGCUUACUUCAACCGCCAUUCAAGAUAGAUUUAGAGGAUUGCUAACAGCCUUGUAUUAUGUAAUUUUGUUGCUUCUUCGAUGUAAGAAGUUAGAACCUUAAAUCUUUCAAUGUAUAUGGAAAUUUUUACUACAAACCUUUGCUCUCAAAAUGAGCUUUAAUAUUUGGGGAGUAGCUGUUACACUACUCAGGAAAAGAAUAUUUGAAGCUAAUUUUAAGCUUCUAAGGAUAUGUUAAUUGGCUAAGUACCUCACCCUACCAGAGGACUUAGGUCUUUGUUAUGCACAUUGGAGAUAAAGCUUCAGCUGUGUUAGUACAGAGUUGUGGACUGGAGUCAUAAAAGUAUUUUAAAUAGAAACCUGGUAAAACAUAUCUUAUUCCAAACAACAGUUAAUUGGUUAUUACAAAAUACUGAUAUUUGGCCUAUUACAUAUACAAAUUUCAGGCAAAAUUGAUAAUUUUACUCUUUACAUGCUUUUGUAUUUCCUGUAAAUUUGUGCAUGCAACCCAUAGAAAAUGCGCUUAGUGUAUUUAUAGGUGGUUCAUCUAAUGAAAAGGCUACAUGUAUGAUUGGAUCACUUGUUUAUUCUCUUGAGUUUCCCCUGCUUCAAUACAGACUAUUAAAUUACGUGCUGUAGCCACUGUUUUUAAAUGUUAAAAAUCAAGCUUUCAAUUCAUAUACUGAUAGCCAAUGUGUGGCUUGUGGUUUUACAAUUGAUUAAAAGGUUUUCCUUUUUUUUUAGAUACUACUAGCCCUCAAAUUUUACAAUUACUUAAUGCUUUAUUAGAGGCAGGUUUUCUACAUAAAAUCAGUGAGUGAUGAUUUCAGUGUAAAUUGUCUGACAACUCACUGUCCUUUCAGUGCUCUGGCUCAGACAACUAAACAAAACCAUAGACCCAGCUCUUUGAAAAUGGUAAUGGAGUUGAUAACACACCCUCACAAAAAGAGGAAGACUCCAUUUGCUUACUUUCAACGCCCAGCCUCACCCUGCCAACUCAGGGAUUUCUAAAUAAGGCUAAAUCUGGACCUUGUUUACAGGAUUUGACAUUUCUAAUUAAUGCUUAUGUUUAGGUAAAUAAAGCUGGUGAGGGGCUGGAGAGAUGGCUUAGUGGUUAAGAGCACUAAGUACUGUUCCUUUAUAGGCCAUUUAAAAACUCAAACUGUAUUGCCUGGACCCCUUAGCAAGGGAGGACAAUAAUACCAGGCAGAUUAUAGGCCUUACAUAGAAACAAUUAGUCAAAAAGUCUCAUUCUUUAUAUCAUCAAAACAAUAAUGCUGGAAACAAUAAUUUGGUAUACAAGUCAAUUUAUAAAUACAAGUGCUCAGUGUCCUCAAUUUAAUCCUCGAGGACUUAUCUUAAUAAAUAAUAUUUUAACAAUUUUAAUAAAUAAAAGGGGGAACUAUCCCUGAAUGCUAAUAAUGCUCCUUUUAUUUCAAUUUUAAAAUUUGGAUGCCAAGGUUUAUGGCACCCUACAACUAGGCAUACUUCUGCCUAGGUGAAAUAGAAAGACCCACAUAUUGGCAUGAUCCUGUCCAGGUAUUUUAUAUGGGGAAGAGGGAAUGUUUGUGUUUUUUCUACAGAAUGCUACAGGAGUGUGCCAGCUGCCUGAGAGUCUGGUGAGCCAUGCUGAUCCUGGGAGCAUGAAGAUUCAGCUCUCGUGGUUCUGGUUCCUGGAGUCAUUCCUGUGCCCUUAGAGGAAGAUGGAGGAUUCCCCCUCAUCUUUUGUCAUCACAGAAAUUCUGGCGUUGCUGCAGUCAGUGUGUCCUGUCCCACCGAGGCCUGCCCUCCGACCCUCUGUGCACUGCUGCUUGCUGGAAGCUGCUGUGGACUGGGGAACUCUGCCCUGGUUCUGCAGAUCUCAGACAUGGUUCCAUUGUCUGCUGGUUGGUCCAGAGAAGAAUGACCGAUCCUGAACUGUCCUGGGAAAGACCUAGGCAUUUUCGCUGCUAUUGUGGCAGCCAUUACUGCUGCAGCCAUUGUGUCUGCAGUGUCUGGAGUUACCCUCCCCCAAUCUAUUGUUAGGCAAGCACAGUGGGUGAACUUUCUGGAGUAGUUGCUAACAAUUGGGAAUUCUAAAUUUUAUUAUAGGAGUGGCUUGACUACGGCCCUUGGUGGUAGCAGCUGAGGAGAACCAGAUGAGGUGCCCACUACUUAUCGGGAGAGGCUCAACUUCCACAAUCUCUUAAAUUAACGCCAUCUGGCCUCUGCUCCUUCGCCCCUGGGCUCAAGUAAGAGGAAUGACAAGAUGAUCCAAUGUAGCUAUCCUCAGGGACGGGCAACUUCCUCUGACCCUUGACCAAUCUAAGGCAGGAACCUUGGGGGCGACAAGGUGAUCCUAUGACAGAUAAGGCUGGGGUUUGAGAGGUCGAUCCUAAGACAGAGGUGGCUACACCCCGUUUAAACGUACGGGCCGGUCAAAUGCUCCUCUGCCCAGUUUCUCCCCCAAUAAACACACACGUAUAGCCCAGAACAGUGUGUUACAGCAUAAGUUCAUUUCUGGCCAUUGGGGUGCAGUCCUAACUGCAAGAGUGGCUCGCCAUGGCCGAGCUGGGCACUCUGUGAGGCAUGUCUGAUCUCUCUCAGACCACUACUUCCACCUAAUGGUUUUUUAUAAAAGAAUAACGGGGGAGAUGUAGUGCCAUAUUGGAUUUGGGCCUGGCUGCUUUGUAACUGCAUGGCCACAGUUAAGAAGUCAUGGGAUUGUUGGACAGAGGCCUCUCCCAUGUAUUUACGGCACAGGAAGAAAAGACCAAGUAGUAAACACCCGAUAUCUUCACUGCAUGACCUCUGCUGAGCCCAGCUGAUGCAUGUGGAACUGACACACCUGGACCACACCUGGGUGGUGGUCAAUUUACUUCUGCCUUUUACUUCCUCAGCCUUUAUCCUUGAGAUUUAGGCUGGUCUUCUGGGAUUUCUCCCUAAUUAAUUCAGGUCUCCUAGUUGGUCUUUUGUUACCAAAGUCACGAGCCAGGUAGUCACGAGCCAGGGUUUCCCACUGUGCUUCCCAGUUAUUUUCUACCUGGAGACUUGGGUAUAUAAGUGGUGAAUAAAGCUACAGGAGACUCUCACUAUUUCUCUCACUCUCACUAUUCCUCUCACUCUCACUAUUCCUCUCACUCUCACUAUUCCUCUCACUCUCACUCUUCCUUCCGCUCUUCCUCUCUCUCUCUCUCUCCCUCUCUUCCUCUCCUGGCUUGACACGAUAA
This is a long non-coding RNA of Rattus norvegicus (Norway rat), 5020 nucleotides long. RefSeq lists it as uncharacterized. NCBI's taxonomy places the organism in Eukaryota, Metazoa, Chordata, Mammalia, Rodentia, Muridae. The record is from RefSeq and is a predicted model, not a curated record.